This 563-nucleotide ribosomal RNA is filed under the name Curvularia lunata. RNAcentral describes it as "eukaryotic LSU rRNA". The stretch from base 195 to 348 matches the Rfam family "5.8S ribosomal RNA". Lineage: Eukaryota; Fungi; Ascomycota; Dothideomycetes; Pleosporales; Pleosporaceae. The record is from RNAcentral.
GGGGGAAUCGUUAAAUUGCUGGCUGUACGCGGCUGUGCUCUCGGGCCAGUUUUGCGGAGGCUGAAUUAUUUAUUACCCUUGUCUUUUGCGCACUUGUUGUUUCCUGGGCGGGUUCGCCCGCCACCAGGACCACAUCAUAAACCUUUUUUAUGCAGUUGCAAUCAGCGUCAGUAUAACAAAUGUAAAUCAUUUACAACUUUCAACAACGGAUCUCUUGGUUCUGGCAUCGAUGAAGAACGCAGCGAAAUGCGAUACGUAGUGUGAAUUGCAGAAUUCAGUGAAUCAUCGAAUCUUUGAACGCACAUUGCGCCCUUUGGUAUUCCAAAGGGCAUGCCUGUUCGAGCGUCAUUUGUACCCUCAAGCUUUGCUUGGUGUUGGGCGUUUUUUGUCUUUGGUUGCCAAAGACUCGCCUUAAAAGGAUUGGCAGCCGGCCUACUGGUUUCGCAGCGCAGCACAUUUUUGCGCUUGCAAUCAGCAAAAGAGGACGGCAAUCCAUCAAGACUCCUUCUCACGUUUGACCUCGGAUCAGGUAGGGAUACCCGCUGAACUUAAGCAUAUCAAAA